UACAGAGGGUGCAAGCGUUGCUCGGAUUUACUGGGCGUAAAGCGUACGCAGACGGUGAGAAAGGUCGGAUGUGAAAGCCCCGGGCUCAACCCGGGAACUGCAUCCGAAACCAUCUCGCUCGAGUGUGGGAGAGGGAAGCGGAAUUCCUGGUGUAGAGGUGAAAUUCGUAGAUAUCAGGAGGAACACCGGCGGCGAAGGCGGCUUCCUGGCCCAUUACUGACGUUCAGGUACGAAAGCGUGGGUAGCAAACAGG
Molecule: ribosomal RNA, 253 nt
Filed under: uncultured bacterium
Lineage: Bacteria
Also listed under: 1 other name
Description: partial 16S ribosomal RNA
Rfam family: Bacterial small subunit ribosomal RNA
Source: RNAcentral